RNAcentral lists this ribosomal RNA (165 nucleotides) under Haldina cordifolia. RNAcentral's name for it is "5.8S ribosomal RNA". It matches the Rfam family "5.8S ribosomal RNA". From Rfam's summary of the family: 5.8S ribosomal RNA (5.8S rRNA) is a component of the large subunit of the eukaryotic ribosome. Lineage: Eukaryota; Viridiplantae; Streptophyta; Magnoliopsida; Gentianales; Rubiaceae. The record is from RNAcentral.
UCCAAAUGACUCUUGACAACCAAUAUCUCAGCUCUCGCAUCGAUGAAGAACGUAGCAAAAUGCGAUACUUGGUGUGAAUUGCAGAAUCUCGUGAACCAUCGACUGUUUGAACGCAAGUUGUACUCGAAGCUGUCAGGCCUAGGGUAGGUUUGCCUGGGCAUCACA